AAAUGUAUAAUUGAGUCCAAAAUGUAUGACACCCGGUCCCAACAAUAGGAAAGGAGACAUUCUAGAAUGUAGAGAUACAAUUUUCAUUUUCAGCUUAGCUCUUUUAUGAAAUAGCAAAACAUAUCGUUUAUCUAUCUCUCAAGCUAGGUUUUGUUCGAUUCAAUUUCACAAAUAGAUUCGGAUAUACGAAUCUCACAUGGUAUUAAAGUAAUGGAAUAGAUCCAGCUCGUCAUCAGUUAUCGUCCGAUUGUACCAUCCUCCGGAGUUUUGAAGUUUUAUUGUUCCGAGGUUUCUUCUCAGAUGGUGAAAAGUUUGGGGAUUUUUUGUGUUUUCUCUCCUUCAACAGUCCUUUCUCUUUCACUAUUUGACAAAAAUCUGGUAGAAAUUCUUCAUUUUUCAUUUGUAUACUCAAAUUUGAUAAAAGUUAGGUUUUAUUCCCCAAAUUGCUAGAAUUUUGUGGAAAUUUGUUGUACUGGUUACAGUUUAUUCUCGUAUCUGUGAAUUCUCGUGUGUUUCAACAUGAGUACCAAUAGUUCUGUGAACUCCGAGGGAUUCGUCGAAUUUACAGUGGAUCCCUCCUACCCUUUUUAUUUAUACACAUCUUACAGCCCUGGUAGUCAAUUAGUGGCCAUUCUUUUCAAUGGUACUGGUUUCGUUCACUGGCGCAGUAGUAUGUUGACCUCUCUCCCCGCUAAGAAUAAAUUGGGAUUAAUCACGAGUAGAAUAGCCCAACCACAAACUGAUUCUCCUUAUUAUCCUUUCUGGGAGCGUUGCAAUGAUAUGGUCAAGGCUUGGAUUAUCAACUCCUUAACCAGAGAACUUGCAAUUAGCGUUAUGUGUUUUCAUACUGCCAAAGAAGUUUGGCAGGACAUUAAUGAUAGGUAUGGUCAAUCAAACAGGUCCAAGUAUAUACAAUUUCAAAGAAAAAUUAGUGCAUCUUCUUAGGGUGCUUCUGAUAUAGCUAGUUAUUUCACCAAAACGAGAAGCUAAUGGGAUGAACUCACAUCUGCCUAUGUUGGACCAACUUGUUCUUGUGGUGCACUUCCAAAAUUCAUAGAAGAUCAAUAGUUGUUUCAGUUUAUCAGUAGGUUGAAUAAUUCAUACACUACUGUCAAGAGUAGUAUUUUAUUGAUGAGCCCCCUUCCCUCCAUUAAUAAGGCAUAUUCCCUCCUACAACAAGAUGAAAGUCACAAGGAAGUAAAAUAUACACCUUCUGGGUUUUCUGGUGAUUCCGUAGCAUCUUUCUCCGUUUCUUCUUGCAUCCCUCAACCCACCAACAAAUUCUACAACCAACAGUUUUGACUCUAAGCGACAAUCUUCUUUUGUAUAUUGCAAGUACUGCAAGAAGCGUGGGCCUUAUGUGGACAAGUGCUACAGACUACAUGGUUACAGCUGAAUUUAAGUUCACUAAGAAUAAACGAGUUGCUGCAUAUGCCCUAGUCGAGGAACCUACUGCUGGCAUACUUUCUAGUCCUACAAAUUCUUUUGAUUCUCCAGCUUUUGGCCUCAGCAAGGAGCAAUAUCAACAGCUUGUGACACUUCUUCAACAAGCACAAGUUUCACCCAACUGUAUUCAAUCUUCCUCUUCUGCAGAGUGAUUUGGUUUUGCCAAUUUUGCAGGUGUGUGCCAUCUUCCUUAAGUACAAUCUGCUAUUCAUUUUUUGUCUGCUCAGUUAGGUAGAAGUCCUUGGAUUGUCGAUUCAGGUACCACUAAUCAUAUGACUCCACACAAACAUGUUUUUUACAAUAUUCAACCUUUGGCCUCUCCCUAUUUGAUAACAUUACUAAAUGGUUAUAAAGUGAAAGUCAUUUCUACUAGCUCUUUACAUCUUAGACAAGACAUAAUUUCACAUAAUGUAUUUUUAGUUCCAUCUUUUCAAUUCAAUCUUAUUUUUCUUCAUCAACUUCUUUCUCAGUUAAAAUGCAUUGCUAUAUUUACCAGUUUCUGCUGUUUCUUACAGGGCCCUUCUGUGAAGAGGCCAUUAGAAAUUGGUAAGGCAGCUCGCGGGCUCCUUUAUUCUUUCCAAUAUGCCUACACAUUCAGCUUUUGUUUCUGUUGUUCCUGUAGUUCCACCUGUUUCUCCUAUUUCUUCCAGUACUGUAUGUAGUUCUGAUUCUCCCACUUCCCUAAGUCCCUCUUGUAAUCCAUCUUGUGUUGCUAAUAAAAUGGAUUGGUUUUGGAAUUAGAGACUUCGUCACAUGCCUUAUGAUAAAAUGAAAUCUAUCCCUUGCUUAUCUCAUUUGAUUUCUCAUAAACAAUCUUUCAUUUUCUAAAAUUGUCCAAUGGCCAGACAACAAAGGUUGCCCUUCCCUGAAAGUCACAUUCAUUCAACUGCCCCAUUUCAGUUAGUGCACAUAGAUAUCUGGGGCCCUUAACAUACUAGAACAUAUUAUGGUUUUAGAUAUUUUAUCAUUGUAGUGGAUGACUUCACUAGGGAUACAUGGACACAUUUGCUUUCUUGCAAAAGCAAUGCCCUUCUUAUUAUAAAGGCAUUUACCUCUAUGGUCAAAGUUCACAUUAAUUCCUCUAUCCAAACUUUCAGAUCUGAUAAUGCUUUUGAACUAGGUGGCAGUUCUGAAGCUUCAGUUUUCUUCACUGAAAAUGGGAUAUUACAUCAAAUUACUGCUCCACACACACCACAACAAAAUGGAGUGGUAGAACGAAAACAUAAACACCUCCUAGAAACAACCAGAGCCUUGUUUUUUCAAUCCAAGCUUCAAACAAAAUAUUGGGGUGACUGUGUUUUGACAUCCACAUAUAUUAUCAACAGAUUGCCUUCCUCUGUCCUAAAUAACUCCUCCCCCUAUGAAAAAUUGCAUGGUGUUUCUCCCACAUAUGACCAUAUGAAAUCUUUUGGCUGCCUUUGCUUUGCCACCACUCCCAAAUCCGAGAGAGACAAAUUUCGGUCAAGAUCUAUUGCUUGUGUUUUCUUAGGUUAUCCUUGUGGUAAGAAAGGAUAUAGGCUUCUAAACCUCUCCAAUCAUUCUAUUUUCUUUUCUUGGGAUGUUGUAGUUUCAUGAACACAUCUUUCCCUAAUUCUCUUCCUUCACUCGUUGUACUUUUCCUCUUUUCUCUAUUGAUUUUAUCACUCCCCACCACCUGUUAUUUUCCCUUCUCCUCGAACAUCAACUUCUUCUUCUAUUUCCUCUCCACACUCUGCUCCUGUUCCUAUUUCCCCUGUCUCACCUUCUGCUCACCCUAGCCCUUCUCCAAAUACACCUUCACCUCCAUGUCUUUAUUCUCCUGUUUCUAGUACCCCUCCUCCUACUCCUUCCGUACCACCUAUUAGAAAGUCUACUAGAGUGUCUCACCAGCCUACUUGCUUACAAUAUUAUAUUUGCUCUUAUGCCUCUUUUCCUUCUAUUUCCGACAACUCCAAGGUUUCAACUAUUGGGCUACACUUGCAUGAACCCCAGUUUUAGCAACAAGAUACCUCACACCCUGCUUGGUAAGAAGCUAUGCUUAAGGAAUUUCAGGCUCUUGAAGCAAACAAUACUUGGGAUAUCGUUUCACUUCCCCCUCAUAAAAAACCUAUUCCUUGCAAAUGGGUUUACAAGAUUAAACAAAAGUGUGAUGGUUCUAUUGAGCGAUAUAAAGCUAGAUUAGUUAUUAGAGGGGAUACACAAAAAGAAGGGAUUGAUUACACCGAAACCUUUUCCCCAGUAGUCAAAUUCACUACUAUUAAAUGCCUUCUUUCCUUGGCUGCCAAGAAGAACUGGACUGUCUACCAAUUUGAUGUGAAUAAUGCUUUCCUUCAUGGUGAUCUCCAUGAAGAGGUCUACAUGAAAAUUCCUUUUGGUCUUCCGGUUUCUUCUCCUUCCUCUUCUUCUCCCUCUUCCUCUCCCCCUUGGUAUGCAAACUCAAGAAAUCAUUAUAUUGUCUCAAACAGGCUUCUAGACAAUAGUUUUCAAAAUUGUCUAAAGCUUUGUUAUCUCGAGGCUACUCAUCAAGUAAGAAUAACUAUUCCCUCUUUACCAAGUCUAGUGGUGGAUCUUUGACUGCCUUGGCAGUCUAUGUAGAUGCCAUUUUAUUGGCUGGGGAUGAUAUUUAUGAACUUGAUUAUUUAAAAUCUUUUCUGGAUGCUCGGUUCAAAAUUAAAGACCUUUGAUCCAUUCAUUAUUUCUUGGGUUUGGAGUUCAGUAAGAUGCCACAGGGGUAUUUGAUGACUCAAACCAAGUGCCAUUGAUUUGCUCGAAGAAUUUCACUGUCAGCACUUCAUACCUGUGGUGUUACCCCUCUUGACAGCUCAACCAAACUCACUGCCAAGGGGAGAGCCUACCUCUGACCCUAGUAUUUAUAGGAGGCUCGUGGGAAUUGAAUUUUUUGCAGCACACCAGACCAGAUAUAGCAUUUUCAAUCCAACACUUAAGCAAGUUUCUUCAGGCUCCACAGGUUCCUCAUAUGUUGGCUACGUUGCAUGUACUCAGGUAUUUGAUGAACGACACUCGUUUGGGCAUUCUCCUCUCCUCUUCCUUUGAUUUGUCCCUCUAGGCUUUCUUUGAUUAUGAAUGGGCUGCAUGUGCCCACUAUUUUAUUGUCUUCUGAUGAGGCAGAAUAUAGAGCCUUGAGAAAGAUUGUCGCUAAGAUUUCUUGGCUUGUUCAUUUAUUCGCUGACCUUGGUUUGGUGAUUUCUAGUCCUGUUCCGGUACUUUGUGACAGCCAAGCAACCCUUCAUAUUGCCAAGAAUCCCGUCUUUAAUGAGUGCAUAAAGCAUAUUGAUAUUGAUUGUCACUAUGUGCGGGAUUGUCUUCACUCUGGGCUGAUUUCUCUUCAGCAUGUUUCAUCCUCUGCUCAUCUUGCUGACAUCCUGAGCAAAUCCCUUCUAAGCCCUCUUCAUCAUUCUCUCUUUGUCAAGCUUGGAGUGUUCACACCCUCCAGCUUGAGGGGGACAUUAUCCAUAUCAUGGAUCAGUCAUGUAGGCCUAAAGGGCAUAGGCCCAGUAGGAUAUUCUCUUUUAUAAAUUCUGUAGCUAUGGCCUAUGUAGUUGUAAGACUAAUGUAUAAGCGAGUCCAAAAUGUAUGAUACCGGGCCCAACAAUAAGAAAGCGGACAUUCUAGAUAGAGAUACAAUUUUCAUUUUUAGGUUUUGUUCGAUUCAAUUUCACAAGAUUCGGAUGUACGAACUUAACAAGAAUUCUAUUUAAAGUGAAUGCCUAUCUUAUACAGAGUUUUACUUUGUGGCUAAGUCAUUUUUCCCUUAUAAAUAGAGGAAUUUUACCUCAUUGUAAAUCAUCCCAAAAUUCGAUAAAAAUUUCCCAUUACUCUCUUUCUCUGCAAUACUAUUUUUCUUCUUUUAUUAUUUUAUUACAAUAGUAAGAUUUUACUAUAUAAAAUAUCCUUUCUUAUUUAAUGUAUGUUAACAAAAUAUAUGUACUAUGUCAAAUAAGAUGUUUAUUCAUAGAAGUUUUGUCCGUCGCGGCACAAGCUGUCUUAGACGGAAACCAUGGGACAUUCAUGUUUAAUUUAGACUUUAGUUAACUUCAACGUAGGGGCGGUGCUAUCGUAUGAGUUUGUUUAUUAGAUAUGUAUAACUAUUUAAUCGUGAACCCAAUAUAAUUAUACGAGCUAUGAAUUUAAUGACUAAUUUAAAACCCAUAAACUUUAUAUGCUGGUUCAGUCUCUUAUUUAGUGACUUCAUUAUUUCUUUAAGAGUCAAUUUUUUUGGAAAGAGUUUUGUCUCGGAUUCUUUUUACAUAGCCUUACAAAUAGUUUGAUAUUUUUGUUUGCUUAUUAGUAAAUUUAUUUUUGUUUUUAAUCUCUUUUUAUUUUUUUGGUAUUGUCUAAUCCUUGUGCUUUCAUCCUUCCAAUUUUAGGUUGCAGAAUCUGAAUCUUAUAAACUUUUUGAACCUUGAAGCUCACACAACAAAGCAUAUUGAGGUAAAUUAUUAUUUUCUUAUGUUCAGCGAUCAUGGGUCUAAUAUUUAUUUAUAUAAAUUGUUUACUUAUUAUAAUAAUGUGAAAUAUUUAUAACUCCUUAAUUAAUUUAAUUCCUGCGAAAAAUCGAAUAUUUAAUUCAAUCUACUAUUUAUGAAGAUUUAAUAAUCUGAAUUGAUAUUCUUACAAAAAGAUUUUCAAAUAACAAAUUAGUAAAUUAAAAUAUAUAUUUUUAGUUGGUUAAUUUUUUUUUUUCUUUCAUAAAGUUGGAUAAAAGCUGACAACUGCGUUGCUGAAUCUUCAAACUGGUCAGAAAUAAAAUAGGAAAAAAUGAGAGAGAAGAGUAAGCGAACACUGAAACUGAAAGUACUGAAUUACUUUUCAAGCAGUAAAGAGCAUUUGAAGAAGAUCAAGUCUGAUUGCCUCCAUAUUAAUUAUCUCUCCUCUUCUAACACACUUUCUUUUCUGUAUGCAUAUAUUCAAGUUUUCUAUCUCUUUUAAGUUGUGAUUAUUUAUUGAUUAUGUUGUCAAUUAAUGUUACGAUUCGGAUUUUCCACCAUUAAGAAUUGUGAUAGCGCAUACUCAUGGAAGCUAGGCAUUAACUAUUUAAACUAACAUGUGAUCAAUAGUGAGGCAUUAACAAUAAAUAAAAAAAGAACGAGCGGAAGACUUAAUCUAAUAAGUUAAAUCAAAACCAGUACGACUGUACCAACAUACAUCUCUACCAUGAUUUCAGUGUCACAAUAUCACGGACUGUCUAUGAAUAUUACAUACAAAUGUCUGAAAGAAAAGUAUUGUCUGUCUCAGAAGUAGAUGAAAACAGAAACAUAAAAUGAUAGAAGAGAACAUGGGGCCUGCGGAUAUCUGCAGGACUACCUCAGGAUCUCUAACUGGACUUAAGGCUGCCACCCAAAGCUAUGUUCCAAAAACUAUCGCUCCAAGAUCUGCACAUAGUGCAGAGUGUAGUAUCAGCACAACCAACUCCAUAUGCUGGUAAGUGGCUGGCCUAACCCCGGCGAAGUAGUGAUGAGGCUAGGACCAUACAGCCAAAUAAAUCUAUGCAGUUAUAUAUAUACUACGUAGCGGAGAUUAAACAGAAAUAAACAAGUAAAGACAUGGGGAGGGAUACAUGCUGCUGGAAGAUAUCGAUACCAACGGUAAUUUAAGAGGAAGGCACAAGGAAAACAUAGAAUUUAUUACCAAAACAAUAAGGAGAUCACAACCAAUAUGUAAACACUUUUUAUUAUCAACUGUUGGGCGCGCAACCUGAUCCCAAAACGUAAUAUUACUGUUGCAGCGUGCAACCCAUUCCAUAUCAUUUAUCACUGUUAUGGUGUGCAACCGACCCAAUUAUAUAGUUAUUUCGGCGUGCAAUCCAAUCCAUUUAUAUCAUUGUUGCGGCAUGCAAUCCGACCCAAAUAUAAUAUUAUUGCGGCGCGGAACCCGAUCUACAUAAGGAGACAACACUAUCUCGGCAAGGGAAUCAACAAUAUAAGUAAGUAUGUCCCAGCAAGGAGAAAUCGACUAUAACUAAACUUGUUCCAACAUCUAACUACCUCCAUUAGAACCAAUACUCAAUCAUAAGUAAACUCCACGGGAAUAAUCUUAGACCUUGCUCAACACAGAGAAUCAAUAACUUAAGAAUUUUUAGUAUUUCUCAGAACACAAUAAUUUUAAUUUAUGACUCACGGUCAUGCUCGACAUCGACGUAUAGAUACGCGUCAUCAUGCCUAUACGUCGUACUCGACAAGUAACACAUAGCAAAUAUGACAUAACUCCUAAUCCCUCAAGCUAAGGUUAGACCAAACACUUACCUCAAACUUCCACGGCUAACUCAAGCCUCAAACACCGCUUUUCCUUUAGAAUCCGCAUCUGAAUUACUUGUAUCUAAUUCAUAUUAGUAUAACAACAUCAAUAAAUGCUAAAUAAUCCAAUCCCAAGGCUAAAUUAUAGGUUUUCCAUUAUCUUCUCCAAAAAGUCAAAAAUCGACCCCGGGCCCGCUUGGUCGAAACUCAAGGUUCGGAUCAAAGCCCGUUCACCCAUUCACCCGCGAGCCCUGAUAUGAAAUAAGUUUCGAAAUCCGACCCCAGAACGGGGUCUAAAUCCCAAUUAAUCAAAAAAGCCCUAACUCUACCAAAACCCCUAAUUUUCUACCCUUAAGAACAUAAUUUAGGCCUAGAAAUCUAAUGGGUGUUAAUAAAAAUUAAAAAAAAAAACAAAUUUAAGAAUACAUACCUAUGAUUUUGUGGUGCAAUCUCUCUUCAAAUAUUGCCCAAGUUCGAGUUUAAGUGAAAGAGUUAUGAAAAUUUUGAAGAAUCCCAUUUAUGCUUCUGUUUUAAAAUCACUGCACUGACCUUCAUCGCGUCCCCGAUGGGUUUGUCGCCUUCGCGAUAGGUCAGGCCAAUUAGCCAUCGCGUUCGCGUUUAUCGAAUCGCAUUCGCGGAGCUUUAACGCCUCGAGUCUUCACGUUCGCGGGCUAGUGGCUCGCGUUCGCAUAGAAAGAGAUUUCUUAAGCCUGACUAGCCAUUCACGUUCGCGAGAGUCCUUCCACGAACGCAAAGAACAUACCAGAACAGUAGAAACUGAAAAACCUGCAACUUUCAUGAGUUCAAAAACCUUCCGAGACCUACCCGAAACUCACCCGAGCCCUCGGGGUUCUAAACCAAACAUGCAUACUAACUCAAAAAUAUUAUAUGAACUGAUUCGUGGGAUCAAAUCGCCAAGAUAACCUCUGAAACAAUGAAUUUAGCAUAGAAAUCUAAAAAAAAUCUCAAAACUUUCAAAGUAGGAAUUUUCACAACUACGGGUCCGAAUCACCUCAAACGACUUAUGUUUCUUACCAAAUUUUGCAGAAUCACCUGAUUUCAUAUAUAAGACCUAUACCGGGCUCCAAAAUUAGAAUACGGGCUUGAUACCAUCAACUUCUAAAUGCAUUUCAUUUCCAAAACUUAUAGAAAUUUUCAUAAUAUAAUUUUCUUUAAAAAUAUAUUUCUCGGGCUUGGGACCUCGGAAUUGGAUUCCGGGCAUACGCUCAAGUCCUAUAUUUUUUACGGACCCUUUGGAACGAUCAAAUUACAGGUCUGGAUCCAUUUACCCAAAAUAUUGACCGAAGUCAACUUAAAUCCAUUUUUAAGUUAAAAUUUCAACAUUUUUCAUAAAUUUUCACAUAAAAACUUUCCAGUUCGGACUUCGUACGCAUUGUUUCUUACCAAAUUUUACAGACUCAUCUUAUCUCACAUAUAAGACCUGUACCGGGCACCGGAACCAGAAUAUAUGCCCGAUAAUAUCAAAUUCUAAAUGCAUUUUGUUUCCAAAACUCAUAAAAAUUUUCAGAAACUAAUUUUCUUAAAAAAUUCAUUUCUCGGGCUUUGGACCUCGGGAUUCGAUUCCGGUAUACGCCCAAGUCUCAUGUUUUCCACGGACCCUCCGGGAUUGCCAAAUCACGGGCUCGGGUCCGUUUACCCUAAAUGUUGAUUGAAGUCAACUUAAAUGCAUUUUAAGUCAAAACUUUUAUCAUUUUUCACAGAUUUUCACAAAAUGGCUUUCUAGCUAUGCGCCCAGACUACAUAUGCAAAUCGAGGUGAUGCCGAAAGAGGUUUCAAGGCCUCGGAACGUAGAAUUUAUUUCUAAAACAAGUGAUGACCUUUUGGGUCAUCACAUUCUCUACCUCUCAAACAACCGUUCGUCCUUUAACAGACAUAAGAAAGAAGUACCUGAGUCGGGGAAAAGAUGGGGAUAACGGCUCUGCAUGUCAGACUCAGACUUCUAGGUCGUUGCCUUAGCAGGCUGACCUCUCUUUUAUACACGAACAGAAGGAAAACUCUUCGAUCUCAACUGAUAAACCUGCCAGUCUAGAAUAGCUACUGGCUCCUCCUCAUAAGACAAGUCCUUGUCCAACUGGAUAGUGCUGAAAUACAACACAUGGGAUGGAUCGCCGUGAUAAUUCCGAAGCAUGGACACAUGAAACACUAGAUGCACAGCUGAUCACUUCAGCAGGAUUACAAGUUUAUAAGCCACCUAUCCCACUCGAUCAAGAAUCUCAAACGGGUCAAUGAACCUAGGGCCAAGCUUGCCCUUCUUUUGAAACCUCGUCCCGCCUUUCAUAGGUGACACUAGAAGCAAUACCCGUUCACCAAUCAUGAAAACCAAAUCACGAACCUUACGGUCGGCAUAACUCUUUUGCCUGGACUGAGCUGUACGAAGCCUAUCUUGAAUAAUCCUGACAUUGUCCAGCGCAUCCUGUACUAGAUCUGUACCCAACAAUCGAGCCUCUCCCGGCUCAAACCAUCCAACCGGCGACCGAAACCGCCUACCAUACAACUAUUCAUAAGGAGCCAUCUGAAUACUAGACUAGUAGAAUGUGAGGUAAACUGCGUACCUCGAUCCGAAAUGAUAAACACAGGUACACCAUGAAGACGAACAAUCUAUCGGAUGUAGAUCUUAGCUGAUCUCUCGAAAGAAUAGGAGACUGCUACAUGAAUGAAAUAUGCUGACUUGGUCAGCCUAUCAACAAUAACCCACACUGCAUCAAACUUUUUUUGAGUGUGUGGGAGUCCAACAACAAAGUGUAUAGUGAUAUGCUCCCACUUUCACUUAGGAAUCUCAAUCUUCUGGAACAACCCACCAGGCCUCUGAUGCUCGUACUUAACAUGCUGACAAUAUAAACACCGAGCCACAUAUGCAAGGAUAUCCUUCUUCAUUAUCCUCCACCAAUAAUGUCGCCGUAAAUCUUGUUACAUCUUUGCGGUGCCCAGAUGAAUAAAGUACCGGGAGCUUUGGGCCUCCUCUAGAAUCAACUCUCGGAGUCCAUCCACAUUAGGUGCACAUACUCGACCAUGCGAUCUCAAAACUCCACCAUCACCUAAGGUAACCUGCUUGGCACCUCCAUGCUGCACCGUGUCUCCAAGGAUUCACAAAUAGGGAUCAAUAUACUGCCGAUCUCGGAUACGCUCCAAUAAAGAAAAACAUGCGACUAUGCAAGCUACUACACGGUUGGGCUCGGAAACAUCCAACCUCACGAACUAAUUGGCCAAAGCUCGAACAUCCAGAGCAAGCGACCUCUCAUCGACCGGAGUAUAAGCAAGACUGCCCAUAUUGGCUGACUUCCUACUCAAAGCAUCAGCCACCACAUUGGCUUUCCCUAGAUGAUAUAGGAUAGUGAUAUCAUAGUCCUUUAUUAGAUCCAACCACCUUCUCUGCCUCAAUUUCAACUCCUUCUGCUUGAACAAAUACUGUAGACUCUUGUGAUCCGUGAACACCUCACAUGCUACACCAUAAAGAUAAUGCCUCCAAAUCUUCAACGCGUGAACAGUGGAUGCUAACUCCAAAUCAUGAAUCAGAUAGUUCUUCUCAUGAAUCUUCAACUGCCGCGAAGCAUAGGCAAUGACCUUGCCAUCCUACAUCAACACUGCACCAAGUCCAACACGAGAUGCGUCACAAUAAACUGUAUAGGGCUUUAAGCCUGUGGGCAAAACCAACACCGAUGCCAUAGUUAGAGUUGUCUUGAGCUUUUGGAAGCUCACCUCACACUCGUCUGACCACCUGAACUGAGUACCCUUCUAGGUCAAUCAUGUCAUUGGGAUUGCGAUAGAUGAAAACCCUUUCACAAACCGACGAUAGUAGCCUGCCAAUCCUAAGAAACUCCGAAUCUCUGUAGCUGAUGUUGGUCUAGGCUAGUUCUUGACCACCUCAGUCUUCAUCGGAUCAACCUAAAUACCCUUUACUGAUACAACAUGACCCAGGAAUGCAAUUGAAAUCAACCAGAACUCACACUUCGAAAACUUGGCAUACAACUGACUAUCCCUCGGACUCUGAAGAACCACUCUAAGAUGCUGCUCGUGCUCCUCCCGGCUGCGGGAAUAUAUCAAAAUAUCAUCAAUGAAGACUAUUGCGAAUAAAUUCAAGUAAGGCCUGGCACUCGGUUCAUAAAAUCCAUCAAAGCCGUUGGGGCAUUGUCAACCCGAAUGACAUCACCAAGAACUCAUAAUGCUCGUACCGAGUGCAAAAAGCUACCUUAUGGACAUCGGAUGCCCUAAUCCUCAACUGAUGGUCACCAGAUCUUAAGUCAUUCUUUGAAAAUACCUUGGAACCCUAAAGCUGAUCAAACACAUCCUCAAUCCUUGGCAACAAAUACUUAUUCUUGACCGUAACCUUGUUCAAUUGCCGGUAAUCUAUUCACAUUUGCAUUGAUCCAUCCUUCUUAAAAAAACAACACAAGCACACCUCAAGGAAUAAAACUGGGUCUAAUGAAACCUUUUUCAAGCAAGUCUUGCAACUGCUCCUUCAACUCUUUCAACUCAAGCGGGGCCAUACAAUACAACGGGAUAGAAAUAGGUUGAGUAAUCAAUACAGAAGUCAAUAUCCCUAUCGAGUCCGGUAGGUCUGAAGGAAAUAGCUCAAGGAACUCAUGAACAACAGGCACAUCAUAAAUAGAAGAAACCUCGACCCUAGAAUCAUGAACAUAUGCCAAAUAGGCCAAACACCCCUUCUCGACCAUGCACCGAGCCUUCACAUAAGAGAUAACACCACUAGUAGAAUGGUCAGGAGUCCCUCUCCACUGUAAACGAGGUAAACCCUACAAGGGUAAGGCCACAAUCUUAGCAUGAUAGUCCAAGAAAGCGUGGUAAGGUGAUAACCAGUGUAUCCCCAAGAUGAAAUCAAAAUCAACCAUGUCUAGAAGCAACAAAUCUACAUGAGUCUCAAGAUCUCAAAUCACAACUAUACAAGAGCGAUGGACUCGAUCUACCAUAAUAAAAUCACCCACCGGUGUAGACAUAUAUACAGGAGCACUCAAGGAAUUACCAGAUACGAUGCAAAAUAAGAUGAUACAUAGGAGUAGGUAGACCCUGGAUCAAAUAAAAUUGAAGCAUCCAUGCCACAAACCAGAAUAGUACUUGUGAUAACAUCAUUGAAAGUCUGAGCCUCUGGCUGGAAGAGCAUAAUAUCGGGGUUGGGUCCCACCACCCUGGACUACACGCCAGGACGCCCUGCAUCUGGCUGGCCUUCACCUCUAGCGGUCUGAGCUCUACCUCUAGCACCUCUACCCCCACCCCUAGCUGGCAUGGCGGGUAGUGGAACACUUGGUGCCUGAACCAUAGCACGGGAACCCUGCUGCUGUGACUGAGUACCCACUAAUCUCAAAUAAGUCCUCCGAAUAUGAUCAUACUUUCCACACUCAAAGCAUCCACAUAAGCGCUGCGGAUGAGAGAACUGAGACUGACCCUAACGACCUGAAUGACCACUCGAAAACUCUGGAGCAAAGGUGCACUGAUAGGAGCUGGUGGUGCACUGUAGGGCUGCUUAUCAGAAUAGCACAUAUGAGAACCACAGCCACCUGAAGCACCGUGAGAAACCUGAAGUGGUGACUGAAAGGGCCUAGGAUGAUGGCCUCUACCAUAUAAAUCCCUGCCUCCAGAUGAGGUACCACUGAAUCUUCCUGAAUGACGAGGCCUUUUGUGAGACCCCUGACCACCUCCAUGUGACAAAACUAUCUUGAUCCUCCUGGCCACAUUAGCUACCUCCUGGAAAAAAAAAUCUCACUCCCCGUCUCCUUAGCCAUCUAAAUUCGAAUAGGCUGGAUAAGUCCCUGAAUGAACCUCCUCUCUCUCUCUGGGAAGUAAUAAGUAGAGCAUGACGAGCCAAAUUAAUGAACCUGGUCUCAUACUGGGUAACAGUCAUAGAACCCUGUUGGAGACACUCAAACCGCCUCCGAUUGAUCUCCCUUUGAGUAAUGGGAAUAAACUUCUCCAAGAAUAGCUGAGUAAACUGCUCCCAAGUCAAAGAUGGAGAUCCGGCUAGUCUAGCCAAGCAAUAAUCUCUCCACCAAGUCUUAGUGGAUUAAGAUAAGCGUAAAGUAGGAAAGUUGACUCCAUUGGUCUCCACUAUCCCCAUUUUCCUGAGAACCUCGUGACAACUGUCUAGAUAAUCCUGAGUAUCCUCAGAAGAUGCACCACUGUAAGUGGCAGUGAAGAGCUUGGUGAACAUGUCCAACUUUACAAAGCAUCAGCAGACAUAGCUGCCCUAUCGCCGGUUUGAGCUACUAUACCCGGCUAGACUGCUCCAACUGGAUGAGCUACUAGAGUCUAAGACUGGGGAGCCAUCUGCUCCGGAGUGCGAGUAGCAGGAGUAUGGGCUCCUACUCCAGCCUGAGAGACGGCUGGUGCUACAGGAAGCAAGCCUGCCCGGGUGACACUCUCCAUAAGCUCACUAGACGAACUAGAGCAUCCUGGAGUAUUAGGAUAGCAAUAAACUCCUCGAGGACCUGAGCUGGGCUUAGCGAAAGUGUCUGGGCCGGGACCUCAUCAUCAAAGUCAACUUGAGGCUCCGCUGUUGGUGCUGCUACUCUGUACUUAGCUCUUCCCCUACCUCGACCUCUAGCAUGGCCUCAACCUUGCCCUAUGCCUUUCACGGGAGCUAGUGCUAGGAGCUCGGGCUUCUGAUCAGCGUUCUCGACAUCUUCGAAAGAACAACGUAUUAAUUCAAUUAGCAUUGAGAAAUCAAACCGCACGACCAUAAAUUUUUUCCUAAAGAAAUCAAACCGCACGACCAUAAAUUUUUUCCUAACUCUGUAGCCUCUGGGGGAUAAAUAUAGAUUGUGAGCAUGUGAUUUUUUCCCUAAAUGAAUUAUUCCUAUAAAUUCAAACAAAAUUAUUUCUUUUACUUGUUUGCAAUUUUAUGGAUUUUUAUGGUAUUUUCCGUUAGUUGUUUGAAUUUGUCUGCGCAUUUUAAUUAGUAAAAAAUACAAAAAAUAUGUCGCAUCUGCAUUUAAAAGUAGAUAUGACAUUUUUCAAGCAUUAGUUAGCAAUUGGUUAUUUUAUAAACAGAAAAAUAAAAAAUGGUUCAAUUUGCUCUUUCAGUUUUAAUUUAUGAAUUUUUAGGUAAUUUUUCUUUUAAUUUUGUUUAAAUAAUGAUUAUAUAAGAUUGGUUAGCAUUUGUUUGUUUGGGAUUUAUAACUUAACUUAGGAUUUAUAAUACUUUUGGAAAAUGAAAAGAAAAAGUGAAAAGAAAUCUGAAAAUUUAAUUAUAAAGAGAAGACCUAAUUGGUCCAUUUUAGAUUAAAACCCAGCCCAAAGAACCCACCCAAACCUGGUCCAGAACCAGUCCAACCUGGUCCAGUCCUCGCCCCAACCAAAAUGACGUCGUUUAGGUUGCGUUUGAUCUUGGUCGUCAAUGUUUCUUAAUCUGACGGUCGAGAAGCUGGGAUGUAUUAGUAUAUAUAUGUCCAAACGACCCCCACACCCCCCAAAACACCCCAUCCCUAAAACUUCUCUCAUUAGAAUCCCUAACACCGGUGUCUCUCCACUGCAAACCGCCGGCCAAAAUCGCCUCCGCCGGCAGCGAUCACCUAAAGGCCACCAAAUUUACACCACUUGACCAGCUUCCCCUCCUCUAUCCAAAUCCAUGCCUGGUUUCCCUCGAAUCACCUCUAUUGUCACGAAAUGUAGCCGGAAGAUUUGACUCCGCCGCCGUACACGGCAGCACCGCUUCUUUUCGACCUCAUACACCGUUGAACCCUCUUCUCUCCCUCAUGCCAAAUCCACACUCAACACCUUCAAACACCCGUAGAUCUUCUCGAAUGUUAAUUCAAAAGGGGCAGCCAAACCUCACUACCCCUAGAAUCGUCCAAAACCCACACCCUAUAACCCUUACCACCCCAUCUCUACUGGUUCGUGGUUAUUUGUUAUCAAAAAGCCCAAAGCUAGUCGAAUUCUAGGGUUCGAGACUCAGAUCUUGCUGUAUGCCUUUGAUAAGCUAAGUUUUCUGUUUAUUUUCUAAUCUCUCUUUUCUUCAUCUCAUUUCUAUCGAUUUGGUUAAUUCCAGGUUCAGAUUAGGUUUAUUUUGAUCUAAUUAAAUUGCAUUAGUCGUUUUAGUUUGAUUGUUUUGAAGGUCAUGAGUUCUAUUAUGUUUAGUCUUCAUGAUUUCAGUCAAGUUAUUGAGUAUUGUUUGAAUUCCAUUUCUUUUAAUUCCCGAGUUUAGUUGAGUUGUAAUAGGUCUUUUGUUGAGUUUUAUUUCAUGAUUAAGUUUCGGAGUUUGAAUUAGGUUUCGUGCAUAAUAGUCAAGUGGUGUCACUCUUAUUUGGAUAAUACCCGAGUUGAACAAUCAAUUUAUGUUAAUUGAAUUUUAUUCGUUCAAUCAGUUCGAAUUGUAUUGAUCUCUUCGGUUGAAUGACUUCUACGUGUGAUUCUUGGGUUUAAAAUUAGGUUUAGUAAUUUAUUGUUAGGUUUGUUAAUUAUCCAUUAGGUAAUCCCACAGUUUUGAUUUUCUGCAUGGUUUUAAGAAAUGCCAUAUUUGAUCCGUUUGGAAUUAAGGGUAGUUUGGGUAUUUGACUAAGGGCAAAUAAAAUAGGAAGCCUCUAGUAGGGGCUUCCUGUUAAUUUGAUGUAAAAAUUUGGUCCACAUAUCAAGAAAUGGGGGACUCAAUUGCAAUUUUAAAAACAAAGGGUUGCCCUACUUGCCUUGUAUAUAAAGGCAUCCUUCUUGCCUUAGAAGGCGGGGAUUUUCCGUGAUAAAAAGCUCAUAAAAACUCAUGGCUAAAAAAAAAGUUAGGUUACAAACACAGUUCCAUUAAACCUCUGUUCUUUGAUUUCACAAGCAAUUUCUGAUUUCUUUUGAGCUGGGAAAAUGAUUUGAUCUAGGGUAUAGGUAGAAUUGAUUUGGUUUCAUUUAUUGGGGCAUUGUUUUAUCAAGUGUUUUGGUUGAAUUUCAUUAUUUAAAAGCUGGUUGGCUGAAAUUUGGACUAACUGUUGUUUCUCGCUGCUGAUCCCUUCAUUUUCUAUUAUUUUCACUUUCCAGGUACACCUCUCUUGACUUCUACACAAUGUAAGGCCUGACUUGAAGUUGAAAUAAGAAUCUGAAGGUUGAGCAUAGUUAUAGCUUGUUUUGAUAAACAGUUUAGUUUUACAUUGUUUUGCUGAUUUGUUAUGAGUUCUAUAACAUACUAUAUUUUGUUGAUAAAUACUCUGCUGAGAAUUGAAUUUUUGUAAUUAAGGGGGACUCAAUUUCCAACUGAAUAUUUCAUAGCUGAUUAGAUGUUGAAAUGGGUUGUUAGUCGAAUUUAUAGCUAACUUUGUACAUUCGACCAUGCUAAAUGGUAUCAUAUGGACUGACUGUGUUCUCACCUUGUAUUCCUGUUAAAUUACUAUCAGUUAAAAUUAGGUGUCUAAAAUUUUGUUGCAUAAUGUUAGCUUCUCUAUAGGAUUCAUGAGUCAUGAUUGGGGCUCAAGCUCUCAGGUUUUAGAACUAACUUGGUGUGAGCUUUUUUUUAUGCGG
This 17141-nucleotide long non-coding RNA is filed under the name Nicotiana benthamiana. RNAcentral describes it as "long non-coding RNA (NBEN_LNC028373)". The record is from RNAcentral. Lineage: Eukaryota; Viridiplantae; Streptophyta; Magnoliopsida; Solanales; Solanaceae.